RNAcentral lists this microRNA precursor (65 nucleotides) under Strongyloides ratti. RNAcentral describes it as "microRNA str-mir-81b precursor". Its record names the gene str-mir-81b. The record is from miRBase by way of RNAcentral. Lineage: Eukaryota; Metazoa; Nematoda; Chromadorea; Rhabditida; Strongyloididae.
AUGGGCCUAUGUGUGUCUCGUGGUGGAUUUUAUGAUAUAGCCAUGAGAUCAUAUUAGACCCAUCU